UCUCGUGGGGAGACCCAUGACAGCUUUUGCAUUAAAUCAGUUAUCGUUUAUUUGAUAAUACCUUACCACUUGGAUAACUGUGGUAAUUCUAGAGCUAAUACAUGCUAAAAACCCCGACUUCGGAAGGGGUGUAUUUAUUAGAUAAAAAACCAAUGCCCUUCGGGGCUCCUUGGUGAUUCAUAAUAACUUAACGAAUCGCAUGGCCUUGCGCCGGCGAUGGUUCAUUCAAAUUUCUGCCCUAUCAACUUUCGAUGGUAGGAUAGUGGCCUACCAUGGUCUUAACGGGUAACGGGGAAUUAGGGUUCGAUUCCGGAGAGGGAGCCUGAGAAACGGCUACCACAUCCAAGGAAGGCAGCAGGCGCGCAAAUUACCCAAUCCCAAUCCGGGGAGGUAGUGACAAUAAAUACUGAUACAGGGCUCUUUCGGGUCUUGUAAUUGGAAUGAGAAAAAUCUAAAUCCCUUAACGAGGAACAAUUGGAGGGCAAGUCUGGUGCCAGCAGCCGCGGUAAUUCCAGCUCCAAUAGCGUAUAUUAAAGUUGUUGCAGUUAAAAAGCUCGUAGUUGAACCUUGGGUCUGGCUGAUCUGUCCUCCUAAUCGAGCGCACGGAUUCGGUCGGACCUUUCCUUCUGGGGAGCCCUAUGCCCUUCACUGGGCGUGGUGGGGAACCAG
This 669-nucleotide ribosomal RNA is filed under the name Chaetothyriales sp. RNAcentral's name for it is "SSU rRNA". It matches the Rfam family "Eukaryotic small subunit ribosomal RNA", at positions 74 to 745 of the family's 1831-position model. Lineage: Eukaryota; Fungi; Ascomycota; Eurotiomycetes; Chaetothyriales. The record is from RNAcentral.